CCUACGGGUGGCAGCAGUGGGGAAUAUUGCGCAAUGGGCGAAAGCCUGACGCAGCGACGCCGCGUGAGGGAUGAAGGUCUUCGGAUCGUAAACCUCUGUCAGCAGGGAAGAACGGUCACUGUGCUAAUCAUCAGUGAAUUUACGGUACCUGCAAAGGACGCACCGGCUAACUCCGUGCCAGCAGCCGCGGUAAUACGGAGGGUGCUAGCGUUAAUCGGAAUUACUGGGCGUAAAGGGAUCGUAGGAGGUAUGUCAAGUCAAGGGUGAAAUCCCGGGGCUCAACGUUGGAAUUGCCUUUGAAACUGGAAGACUGGAGUGUGUGAGAGGUAGGCGGAAUUCGUGGUGUAGCGGUGAAAUGCGUAGAUAUCUGGAAGAACAUCGAUGGCGAAGGCAGCUAACU
Molecule: ribosomal RNA, 400 nt
Filed under: uncultured bacterium
Lineage: Bacteria
Description: partial 16S ribosomal RNA
Rfam family: Bacterial small subunit ribosomal RNA
Source: RNAcentral